Molecule: ribosomal RNA, 118 nt
Filed under: uncultured Bacteroidota bacterium
Lineage: Bacteria; Pseudomonadati; Bacteroidota
Description: uncultured Bacteroidetes bacterium partial 16S ribosomal RNA
Rfam family: Bacterial small subunit ribosomal RNA
Source: RNAcentral
AUGCCCUACGGGUUGUAAACUGCUUUUCUAGCAAGAAGAAACCUUAGUACGUAGUACUAAGUUGACGGUACUGUAGGAAUAAGCACCGGCUAACUCCGUGCCAGCAGCCGCGGUAAUA